RNAcentral lists this ribosomal RNA (439 nucleotides) under uncultured bacterium. RNAcentral's name for it is "partial 16S ribosomal RNA". It matches the Rfam family "Bacterial small subunit ribosomal RNA", at positions 339 to 795 of the family's 1533-position model. The record is from RNAcentral.
CUACGGGCUGCUCCAGUGAGGAAUAUUGCACAAUGGGGGGAACCCUGAUGCAGCAACGCCGCGUGGGGGAUGACGCAUUUCGGUGUGUAAACUCCUUUUAUAUGUCAAGAAAAUGACGGUAGCAUAUGAAUAAGCACCGGCUAACUCAGCGCCAGCAGCCGCGGUAAUACGGAGGGUGCAAGCGUUACUCGGAAUCACUGGGCGUAAAGGACGCGUAGGCGGGUUGGAAAGUCAGGUGUGAAAUCCUACAGCUUAACUGUAGAACUGCACUUGAAACUUCUAAUCUAGAGUAUGGGAGGGGGAGAUGGAAUUAGUGGUGUAGGGGUAAAAUCCGUAGAUAUCACUAGGAAUACCUAAAGCGAAGGCGAUCUCCUGGAACAUUACUGACGCUAAGGCGUGAAAGCGUGGGGAGCAAACAGGAUUAGAUACCCUUGUAGUC